UCGUUUGAUUUAUCUAGUUUCUCCAUUUAAGAUUUUUUUUUCUUUCUCAAAAUACAAAUAAUGGUCGUUUACUAGGAAAAUUCCAAUGAUGAUUAUUGAUAUUAUGCAAACAGAUUUCGGUGACGAGCUGAUGAUACUUUUUCUUCCUCCUUGUCUGUCUUUGGAUUCUGUCGCCGGCUCCCAAUCUCCGCCAACGUUCACAUUCCACCCAUUCGGAGCUUAGCUCCCCAAGAACCAUCUUCGAUUCAGGAGUCGAGGCGGGUUUCCCUCCUAGCUCGAAAACAUGAACGGCCGCAAGCGGUGGUUCCUUCCUCUUUCUCAUCCCUUCGCUUUUCCCAGGUGACACCAACUUUCCAAUCGGGCCUUAACUACUCAGUCGGCCCAAUGACAGGUAUGGAACUAAGCCUUUUGAGCACCGGGUUGAGCCUUAGUAAUAUACUACUUCUCAAGUACUAAUUACUUAUUAUAGUUUAUAGGCUGCCUAGUAUAUAUUAGUAGUAAAGAAAUGCAUUUAUAAUUUAGAUAUUGAUUUAGAAUUUAGAAUUUGUUUACGGAGAGGUUUGUGAUGACGUUGUUGGUCAUUUUCUUUUGUCGUUCAUCUUUAUGCUUUUUGAUAAGCUUUCCUUCUAUGCAAAAUAUGAUCAUGGAUUUUUGAAGCAAAAAUUAAUUAGAGUUAUUGAAGCAAAAGACAACAAAUUUUUUGCUUCCUUCUUGGUGAUGAUGUCAGGAAAAAAGGAUAAUGGGGUAUACAGAGAAAUAGACGCGUUGCGGUUAGGUGAAGAAGAACAUGUCGUGACGUUCUGAGCUGGGUAUCCAGGAACACAGCAAUAAAUAUGGCGUCGACAAACCUAACUUCCAGGUCUUGUCAAGAGGAGUGAUUCAUCGGGAAGAACUCACUCGAGGUAUUAGCCUCUUCGGGUGUUUGAUGUUUUGGGUGUCCUUAGCUCGGGCUCUACCGAUCUUUUAUUGCUUUCUUAAUAUCGAAUGUGUCCUUCUGUUUGAACAAUUAUUUCUUGCGAUGCAAGAUUUCGUUAUUGGAUAGAGUUAGCGUCUGGGUUAUCAGUCUCUGUUCAAAAAUUUUUAUUUUGAGCCGAGGAUGAUUGAAAAUGCGAAUGCGAUAACUCCUGCUACACAUUUGUGAGUCCGUGCUUCACUUGAUAAAUAGUGACGAUAAUCAUCCAUUGGGAUAGAUUGAUAAAUUUAGUAUUUUUUGCCAUAUAUAUAUAUAAGUAAAGGUAGG
Molecule: long non-coding RNA, 1240 nt
Filed under: Linum usitatissimum (flax)
Lineage: Eukaryota; Viridiplantae; Streptophyta; Magnoliopsida; Malpighiales; Linaceae
Description: long non-coding RNA (LUSI_LNC003572)
Source: RNAcentral